AGGGUUCGAUUAUGGCUCAGGAUGAACGCUGGCGGCGUGCUUAACACAUGCAAGUCGAACGAACCCUCGGGUUAGUGGCGGACGGGUGAGUAACGCGUGAGAAUCUGCCCUCAGGAGGGGGAUAACGGUUGGAAACGACCGCUAAUACCCCAUAUGCCGAUAGGUGAAACGAAUUUCGCCUGAGGAUGAGCUCGCGUCUGAUUAGCUUGUUGGUGAGGUAAUGGCUUACCGAGGCUUCGAUCAGUAGCUGGUCUGAGAGGAUGAUCAGCCACACUGGGACUGAGACACGGCCCAGACUCCUACGGGAGGCAGCAGUGGGGAAUUUUCCGCAAUGGGCGAAAGCCUGACGGAGCAACGCCGCGUGAGGGAAGAAGACCUCUGGGCUGUAAACCUCUUUUCUCAAGGAAGAAGAUAUGACGGUACUUGAGGAAUAAGCCACGGCUAAUUCCGUGCCAGCCGCCGCGGUAAUAC
RNAcentral lists this ribosomal RNA (471 nucleotides) under uncultured bacterium. RNAcentral's name for it is "bacterial SSU rRNA". It matches the Rfam family "Bacterial small subunit ribosomal RNA", at positions 8 to 526 of the family's 1533-position model. The record is from RNAcentral.